UACGGGGGGGGCAAGCGUUGUUCGGAAUUACUGGGCGUAAAGGGCCAGUAGGCGGCCAACUAAGUCCGACGUGAAAUCCCAAGGCUUAACCUUGGAACUGCGUCGGAUACUGGAUGGCUUGAAUUCGGGAGAGGGAUGCAGAAUUCCAGGUGUAGCGGUGAAAUGCGUAGAUAUUGGGAGGAACACCAGUGGCGAAGGCGGCUCACUGGACCGGAACUGACGCUGAGGCGCGAAAGCGUGGGGAGCAAACGGG
This 253-nucleotide ribosomal RNA is filed under the name uncultured bacterium. RNAcentral's name for it is "partial 16S ribosomal RNA". It matches the Rfam family "Bacterial small subunit ribosomal RNA", at positions 524 to 776 of the family's 1533-position model. The record is from RNAcentral.